Long non-coding RNA from Triticum aestivum (bread wheat), 796 nucleotides. RefSeq lists it as uncharacterized. The record is from RefSeq and is a predicted model, not a curated record. The transcript has 3 exons. NCBI's taxonomy places the organism in Eukaryota, Viridiplantae, Streptophyta, Magnoliopsida, Poales, Poaceae.
UCCUUCGCCCAGCCGCUCAUUUGGGAUCCAGCUGCAGUCCUCGCCGCCACCUUCUCCUUCUCCCAGCUGGCCGCCCCCUUUCUUUGCAGCUUGACAUAAAGAUUAGCAUGUGUGUGUGUCCUGCAGCUCGAGAGGGACAAAAUAGGAGGUCACCAUGAAAUGUCGAAAGAGAAAGAGAGGCCGUAAGAGUGGAUCAUUCAUUUGUCAUUGGUUUCUCAUCACUUAUCCAAUACUUUCUUUGUUGCUAUCUUCUGAUGAUAUACUGACUUGCAAUAUCUAUAUUCUCAAUAUGUAAAUACGCAAGGGAGUGGAUACCAGUAUAUUACUCUUUCCGUCCAUAUAAUCAGAUGGUUGUCUGUCAAUUUUAUAAAAUUCUUUGGAUUUGCUCAAUAUGUGUCAUGUACCUAGGACCAUUCACUCCAAUGUGGUAUGAGUACAUUUAUUUUCUAAUUGUUCUUGGUUUGAUGUCAAGGCGUACUCAUUCUUGAAAUCUAUGUGGCUUUUUCAGAAACACUAUGUUCCAAGAAGUUUAUUCAAGAGAGCUGGGCAUAUAGGUCCGUCAUGACUGGCAAUGCCCUACAGGACGGCUUGGUUGAUGCAAUCCGUGUAUCCCUCACGGAUCCACUUGGAACUCAUGCUGCAGACCAUCAAUUAGGUGUGGAUAACCAUACUCAAGUCUGGUAGUGCGAUGGCUCCUGUAGAACUAAUCUCUGCACAAUUUGUUUCAAUGAGCACCCAGGUAAUUCAGAUGCUCCAUUUGAUUCUUGGACACUCUCCCUGCUGCUCAUUUCACAAC